Molecule: ribosomal RNA, 497 nt
Filed under: uncultured bacterium
Lineage: Bacteria
Description: partial 16S ribosomal RNA
Rfam family: Bacterial small subunit ribosomal RNA
Source: RNAcentral
GAUGAACGCUGGCGGCGUGCCUAAUACAUGCAAGUCGAGCGAACGGACGAGAAGCUUGCUUCUCUGAUGUUAGCGGCGGACGGGUGAGUAACACGUGGAUAACCUACCUAUAAGACUGGGAUAACUUCGGGAAACCGGCGCUAAUACCGGAUAAUAUUUUGAACCGCAUGGUUCAAAGGUAAAAGACGGUCUUGCUGUCACUUAUAGAUGGAUCCGCGCUGCAUUAGCUAGUUGGUAAGGUUACGGGUUACCAAGGCUACGAGGCGUAGCCGAACUGACAGAGGGAUCGGCCACACGGGAACUGAGACAGGGUCCAGACUACUGAGGUAGGCAGCAGUAGGGAAUCGGCGGCAAUGGGCGAAAGCCUGACGGAGCAACGGCGCGUGUGAUAUGAAGGUGUUCGGAUCGUAAAACUCGGUUAUGAGGUAAGAACAUAUGUGUAAGGAACUGUGCACAGCGUGACGGUACCUAAUCAGAAAGCCACGGCUAACUACGUG